Schizosaccharomyces pombe (fission yeast) is the source of this 566-nucleotide non-coding RNA. The record is from the annotation of a GenBank genome assembly. Lineage: Eukaryota; Fungi; Ascomycota; Schizosaccharomycetes; Schizosaccharomycetales; Schizosaccharomycetaceae.
UGCAGGCGAAAAAUAAUCGUAAAAAAUGGUGUUAGCGUUAAUCCAAGCGAUAUAUGUAUAUCUUGAAACUAAGAAUCCAAAUUGAGUGCUGGCUAUUACAAUACGUUAUCGCAAUUUGUAUACUAAGAAUUUUGUUCCAAAGGUUUUUUUUUUUUGUUUAUAAAACACAAAAUUAGCUUGACUAAUUUUUUUUUUUUUUUGUUAUUUAUAUUGCUAGCCAAAGAUGCUUUCUGCAUUUCUUCAACCGCAGAGUCGUACUAUACAAUCCAACCACAUUACAAAAAUAACUUUUUAUUUUCAAUGGGAAAGUAUUACUUGAGAAUAGUUAUAAAACAGACUGCUUAAAUCUGUCAGCUGAAAACGCUUGUGCCAGAACAUUACUCAAUAUCAAUCGCGUAUUCAUAUUCCUAGUACUGCACCAAAAUCCUUUUAUAAAAGCAAUCGCUAUACUUAAAUAGUUUAAUGCAUUUGUCAAAAUAAUGGCUGGUGAAUUUAGGCAAUAGAUGAAUUGCAUGUAAAUCUCAAAAAAAAAAGGUUAAACUAUCCAUCAAGUAAGAAUCAUUUAG